UACAUGUGGGGCGAGCGUUGUUCGGAAUUACUGGGCAUAAAGGGUGCGUAGGCGGCGCGCCAAGUCACUGGUGAAAGUUUGCGGCCCAACCGUAAAAUUGCCGGUGAUACUGGCGUGCUCGAGUGCGUGAGGGGUUGGGGGAACGAGUGGUGUAGCGGUGAAAUGCGUAGAGAUCACUCGGAAGGCCGGAGCCGAAGGGGCCCAACUGGUACGCAACUGACGCUGAGGCACGAAAGCGUGGGGAGCAAACAGG
This 253-nucleotide ribosomal RNA is filed under the name uncultured bacterium. Its description in RNAcentral is "partial 16S ribosomal RNA". It matches the Rfam family "Bacterial small subunit ribosomal RNA", at positions 524 to 776 of the family's 1533-position model. The record is from RNAcentral.